RNAcentral lists this ribosomal RNA (489 nucleotides) under uncultured bacterium. RNAcentral describes it as "partial 16S ribosomal RNA". It matches the Rfam family "Bacterial small subunit ribosomal RNA", at positions 28 to 507 of the family's 1533-position model. The record is from RNAcentral.
GAUGAACGCUAGCUACAGGCUUAACACAUGCAAGUCGAGGGGCAGCAUGAUUGAAGCUUGCUUCAAUCGAUGGCGACCGGCGCACGGGUGAGUAACACGUAUCCAACCUGCCGAUAACUCGGGGAUAGCCUUUCGAAAGAAAGAUUAAUACCCGAUAGUAUAGUAUUUCCGCAUGGUUUCACUAUUAAAGAACUUCGGUUAUCGAUGGGGAUGCGUUCCAUUAGAUAGUUGGCGGGGUAACGGCCCACCAAGUCAACGAUGGAUAGGGGUUCUGAGAGGAAGGUCCCCCACAUUGGAACUGAGACACGGUCCAAACUCCUACGGGAGGCAGCAGUGAGGAAUAUUGGUCAAUGGACGAGAGUCUGAACCAGCCAAGUAGCGUGAAGGAUGACUGCCCUAUGGGUUGUAAACUUCUUUUAGACGGGAAUAAAGUGGAGUAUGCAUACUCCUUUGUAUGUACCGUAUGAAUAAGGAUCGGCUAACUCCGUG